This is a non-coding RNA of Vicia faba (fava bean), 309 nucleotides long. The record is from the annotation of a GenBank genome assembly. NCBI's taxonomy places the organism in Eukaryota, Viridiplantae, Streptophyta, Magnoliopsida, Fabales, Fabaceae.
UCGUUUCAUAUUAUAAUAGGCUAUACUUCAAUAAUGUAUCUGUUGAUUACAUUUAUUUGUGCUUUUCAUACAAAACAACAUUAUUUUUUUUCUUCUUUCACUUCUUUUACUAUUGUAAUUUGUACCUACUUUGGGUUACAAAAAUAUUGUUAUUUGCACAAAUCACAUUUCAAAAAUCAUAAACCUUUAUUUAUAAACUUAUUCCGAGUGUUGCCAGAAAACAUGCAAGGAAAAACUUCUAUACAAGAAAUCAAAAUAAUAAACAAUACAUGGUGCCAUUUUUCUUCUAUUAGAGCUGUAAAUAUUUGA